ACCGUGAGGGAAAGUUGCAAAGCACUUUGAAGAGAGAGUUAAAGAGGACGUGAAACCGGUAAGGUGGAAACGGAUAGAGUCGGCGUAUCAUUCAAUUAUUCAGUUACAUUAUUUUUAUGUUGUGACCUCUGAGCUCCAGAUUGGGACAGAGGGAAUCAGCAUAAUUUUUUGUGGUGCAUUUACUUGAUUGGUGCUUGGGGAUGUUUGAGGCAGAUUUGUUUCCGUCGUUUUGAGGCCAGCUUGCUGGUACCCAAACGGUGUUAGCAUUUUUUGUCUUGGGCAUUUGAGUAUGGCUCACGUGUAUUUAUUGGACAGAUCUGAGUGUAAGUUACGGUCGCAUGCGACACGUGCUUUUCAAUUAGUUCGGUCCAGUUAAUGCUCUCGUACACGUUCCCCAUGUAAAAGCCGGUCAUCUAUCCGACCCGUCUUGAAACACGGACCAAGGAGUUUAUCGUGUGCGCAAGUUUUUGGGUGUUAAAAACUUAAAAGCGAAAUGAAAGUAAAUGACUCUUUAGAGUCUGAUGUGCGAUCUUGUAAAAAAGUGUAGCAUGGCCCCAUUCUAACUGUUUACAGUAGGGUGGCGGAAGAGCGUACGCGGUGAGACCCGAAAGAUGGUGAACUAUUCCUGAGCAGGACGAAGCCAGGGGAAACUCUGGUGGAAGUCCGAAGCGGUUCUGACGUGCAAAUCGAUCGUCUGACUUGGGUAUAGGGGCGAAAGACUAAUCGAACCAUCUAGUAGCUGGUUCCUUCCGA
RNAcentral lists this ribosomal RNA (753 nucleotides) under Meloidogyne arenaria. Its description in RNAcentral is "partial large subunit ribosomal RNA". It matches the Rfam family "Eukaryotic large subunit ribosomal RNA", at positions 350 to 964 of the family's 3401-position model. Lineage: Eukaryota; Metazoa; Nematoda; Chromadorea; Rhabditida; Meloidogynidae. The record is from RNAcentral.